This 223-nucleotide unclassified non-coding RNA is filed under the name uncultured Pyronemataceae. Its description in RNAcentral is "sequence contains ITS1". The stretch from base 1 to 105 matches the Rfam family "5.8S ribosomal RNA", at positions 50 to 154 of the family's 154-position model. Lineage: Eukaryota; Fungi; Ascomycota; Pezizomycetes; Pezizales; Pyronemataceae. The record is from RNAcentral.
GAAAUGCGAUAAGUAGUGUGAAUUGCAGAAUUCAGUGAAUCAUCGAAUCUUUGAACGCACAUUGCGCCUCCUGGUAUUCCGGGAGGCAUGCCUGUUCGAGCGUCAUUAAAAUCACUCAAGCUUAGGUUUGCCUAUUGCUUGGUCUUGAAGAUGGAAGCUAAGUAAUUGGAAUCCUCUUCGAAGUGUUGACCUCGGAUCAGGUAGGAAUACCCGCUGAACUUAA